AGUACGACCGCAAGGUUAAAACUCAAAUGAAUUGACGGGGACCCGCACAAGUAGUGGAGCAUGUGGUUUAAUUCGAAGAUACGCGCAGAACCUUACCAACACUUGACAUGUUCGUCGCGACUCUAAGAGAUUAGAGUUUUCGGUUCGGCCGGACGAAACACAGGUGCUGCAUGGCUGUCGUCAGCUCGUGUCGUGAGAUGUUGGGUUAAGUCCCGCAACGAGCGCAACCCUCACUUUUAGUUGCCAUCAUUAAGUUGGGCACUCUGAAAGAACUGCCAGUGAUAAGCUGGAGGAAGGUGGGGAUGACGUCAAGUCCUCAUGGCCCUUACGUGUUGGGCUACACACGUGCUACAAUGGUACCUACAACAGGAAGCAAGACUGCGAAGUUAAGCAAAUCCCUAAAAGAUACCUCAGUUCGGAUUGCACUCUGCGACUCGAGUGCAUGAAGCUGGAAUUACUAGUAAUCGUGGAUCAGCGUGCCACGGUGAAUGCGUUCCCGGGUCUUGUACACACCGCCCGUCACACCAUGGGAGUUGGUUCUACCUUAAGGCAAGGUUUCAAACCCUUGACCACGGUAUAGUCAGCGACUGGGGUGAAGUCGUAACAAGGUAACC
RNAcentral lists this ribosomal RNA (614 nucleotides) under uncultured marine bacterium. RNAcentral's name for it is "bacterial SSU rRNA". It matches the Rfam family "Bacterial small subunit ribosomal RNA", at positions 879 to 1501 of the family's 1533-position model. The record is from RNAcentral.